Molecule: ribosomal RNA, 237 nt
Filed under: uncultured Lactobacillus sp.
Lineage: Bacteria; Bacillati; Bacillota; Bacilli; Lactobacillales; Lactobacillaceae
Description: partial 16S ribosomal RNA
Rfam family: Bacterial small subunit ribosomal RNA
Source: RNAcentral
CCUGCCCAAGAGAUCGGGAUAACACCUGGAAACAGAUGCUAAUACCGGAUAACAACAGAUGAUGCCUAUCAACUGUUUAAAAGAUGGUUCUGCUAUCACUCUUGGAUGGACCUACGGUGCAUUAGCUAGUUGGUAGGGUAACGGCCUACCAAGGCGAUGAUGCAUAGCCGAGUUGAGAGACUGAUCGGCCACAUUGGGACUGAGACACGGCCCAAACUCCUACGGGAGGCAGCAGAG